GACGAACGCUGGCGGCGUGCUUAACACAUGCAAGUCGAGCGGUAAGGCCCUUUCGGGGGUACGACGAGCGGCGAACGGGUGGAGUAACACGUGGGUGACCUCGCCCUCCAGCUCUGGGAGUAAGCCGUGGGAACCGGGUACUAAUACCGGAUAUGACUCCAUGACGCAUGUUGUGGGGUGGAAAGCCUUGUGCGGCUGAGGAUGGGCCCGCGGCCUAUCAGCUUGUUGGUGGGGUGAUGGCCUACCAAGGCGACGACGGGUAGCCGGCCUGAGAGGGCGACCGG
RNAcentral lists this ribosomal RNA (284 nucleotides) under uncultured bacterium. Its description in RNAcentral is "partial 16S ribosomal RNA". It matches the Rfam family "Bacterial small subunit ribosomal RNA", at positions 28 to 307 of the family's 1533-position model. The record is from RNAcentral.